GAUGAACGCUAGCGGCAGGCCUAAUACAUGCAAGUCGGACGGGAUUGGAGAGCUUGCUUUCCAUGAGAGUGGCGCACGGGUGCGUAACACGUAUGUAACCUACCUUGUUCAGGGGGAUAGCCUCUCGAAAGAGAGAUUAAGACCGCAUAACAUUGCGAUGUGGCAUCACAUUGUAAUCAAAUAUUUAUAGGAACAAGAUGGGCAUGCCGAACAUUAGCUAGUUGGUAAAGUAACGGCUUACCGAGGCUACGAUGGUUAGGGGAUCUGAGAGGAUGACCCCCCACACUGGUACUGGGACACGGACCAGACUCCUACGGGAGGCAGCAGUAAGGAAUAUUGGUCAAUGGGCGGAAGCCUGAACCAGCCAUGCCGCGUGCAGGAAGACGGCCCUAUGGGUUGUAAACUGCUUUUGCAGGGGAAUAAACCUUGGUACGUGUACCAAGCUGAAUGUACUCUGAGAAUAAGGAUCGGCUAACUCCGUGCCAGCCGCCGCGGUAA
This 498-nucleotide ribosomal RNA is filed under the name uncultured bacterium. Its description in RNAcentral is "partial 16S ribosomal RNA". It matches the Rfam family "Bacterial small subunit ribosomal RNA", at positions 28 to 523 of the family's 1533-position model. The record is from RNAcentral.